AUACGUAUGUCGCAAGCGUUAUCCGGAUUUAUUGGGCGUAAAGCGCGUCUAGGCGGCUUAGUAAGUCUGAUGUGAAAAUGCGGGGCUCAACCCCGUAUUGCGUUGGAAACUGCUAAACUAGAGUACUGGAGAGGUAGGCGGAACUACAAGUGUAGAGGUGAAAUUCGUAGAUAUUUGUAGGAAUGCCGAUGGGGAAGCCAGCCUACUGGACAGAUACUGACGCUAAAGCGCGAAAGCGUGGGUAGCAAACAGGAUUAGAUCCCCUGGUAGUCCACGCCGUAAACGAUGAUUACUAGGUGUUGGGGGUCGAACCUCAGCGCCCAAGCUAACGCGAUAAGUAAUCCGCCUGGGGAGUACGUACGCAAGUAUGAAACUCAAAGGAAUUGACGGGG
This 392-nucleotide ribosomal RNA is filed under the name uncultured bacterium. Its description in RNAcentral is "partial 16S ribosomal RNA". It matches the Rfam family "Bacterial small subunit ribosomal RNA", at positions 523 to 918 of the family's 1533-position model. The record is from RNAcentral.